Molecule: ribosomal RNA, 858 nt
Filed under: Staphylococcus aureus
Lineage: Bacteria; Bacillati; Bacillota; Bacilli; Caryophanales; Staphylococcaceae
Description: partial 23S ribosomal RNA
Rfam family: Bacterial large subunit ribosomal RNA
Source: RNAcentral
AUUGACUAAGGUUUCCAGAGGAAGGCUCGUCCGCUCUGGGUUAGUCGGGUCCUAAGCUGAGGCCGACAGGCGUAGGCGAUGGAUAACAGGUUGAUAUUCCUGUACCACCUAUAAUCGUUUUAAUCGAUGGGGGGACGCAGUAGGAUAGGCGAAGCGUGCGAUUGGAUUGCACGUCUAAGCAGUAAGGCUGAGUAUUAGGCAAAUCCGGUACUCGUUAAGGCUGAGCUGUGAUGGGGAGAAGACAUUGUGUCUUCGAGUCGUUGAUUUCACACUGCCGAGAAAAGCCUCUAGAUAGAAAAUAGGUGCCCGUACCGCAAACCGACACAGGUAGUCAAGAUGAGAAUUCUAAGGUGAGCGAGCGAACUCUCGUUAAGGAACUCGGCAAAAUGACCCCGUAACUUCGGGAGAAGGGGUGCUCUUUAGGGUUAACGCCCAGAAGAGCCGCAGUGAAUAGGCCCAAGCGACUGUUUAUCAAAAACACAGGUCUCUGCUAAACCGUAAGGUGAUGUAUAGGGGCUGACGCCUGCCCGGUGCUGGAAGGUUAAGAGGAGUGGUUAGCUUCUGCGAAGCUACGAAUCGAAGCCCCAGUAAACGGCGGCCGUAACUAUAACGGUCCUAAGGUAGCGAAAUUCCUUGUCGGGUAAGUUCCGACCCGCACGAAAGGCGUAACGAUUUGGGCACUGUCUCAACGAGAGACUCGGUGAAAUCAUAGUACCUGUGAAGAUGCAGGUUACCCGCGACAGGACGGAAAGACCCCGUGGAGCUUUACUGUAGCCUGAUAUUGAAAUUCGGCACAGCUUGUACAGGAUAGGUAGGAGCCUUUGAAACGUGAGCGCUAGCUUACGUGGAGGCGCUGGU